Molecule: ribosomal RNA, 253 nt
Filed under: uncultured bacterium
Lineage: Bacteria
Description: partial 16S ribosomal RNA
Rfam family: Bacterial small subunit ribosomal RNA
Source: RNAcentral
UACGAAGGUCCCGAGCGUUAUUCGGAAUCACUGGGCGUAAAGAGUACGUAGGCGGUCUGGUAAGUCAGGUGUGAAAUCCCGGGGCUCAACCCCGGAACUGCACCCGAUACUGCCAGACUGGAGUAAUGGAGAGGCAGGUGGAAUUCUCGGUGUAGCAGUGAAAUGCGUGGAUAUCGAGAGGAAGACCAAUGGCGAAGGCAGCCUGCUGGACAUUUACUGACGCUGAGGUACGAAGGCCAGGGGAGCGAAAGGG